ACUAGAACGAUUUAGACUUAUUCCUUGAAUAAUCUUUUUCCUUUCAUCAUUGUUGACAUGGUGAUGAUGUCCAAAAGACUCCUAAAUUUUAAUACUUCAAAAGAAUAGUUUCAGUCUCAGAAGUUUCUGCUAGGAACUUACAGAUUUCCUUAAGGGCGUUGUCUCAUUUUUAAAAGGAAGGGGAGGGGUCAAUUUCCCUACAUUAUUGGGCCCUUUUAGGGAAAGAGGAUUAUGUCUUAGGCUGGCCAUGUACUGUGUGGGUAUUGUGU
This 269-nucleotide long non-coding RNA is filed under the name Bos taurus (domestic cattle). RNAcentral describes it as "long non-coding RNA NONBTAT009254". The record is from RNAcentral. Lineage: Eukaryota; Metazoa; Chordata; Mammalia; Artiodactyla; Bovidae.